This is a long non-coding RNA of Haliotis rufescens (red abalone), 1491 nucleotides long. RefSeq lists it as uncharacterized. The record is from RefSeq and is a predicted model, not a curated record. The transcript is spliced from 6 exons. NCBI's taxonomy places the organism in Eukaryota, Metazoa, Mollusca, Gastropoda, Lepetellida, Haliotidae.
UCAACGAACAGCUUAUCAGUGUAUCUGAUGAAAAGUGAAUACGUGGUGAAUACAUACAGGAUUUUUCUCUUCCAAGCAGGCUUCAUAUGAACAAGUAGACAACUCUUCAAGCCAUGCUGAGGCGAAGCAGAGUUCUCUAUUUCAGUGAGUACAUCCUUUCAGCACAAAGGUAUGCUUCGGUAUGAUGCAUUGACUACAUGAGCAGCAAAUAAAUGACUCGGUUACCGCGAAAUUCGUACAGUAACGUGAAAGAGAAGGUGUAAUUCAAGAAAACCAAAUGACCAAUUAUGAAUAUGGUCCAUAGAACCAUCACCUAACUAUGACAAAACAUUCAACAGUAAAUAUUAUAACUGUAUCACCCUGUACUAUAAAUACUGACAUGGCAAUAAAUAUGGUCGAUAUUCUGUUAUUUAAGAUUUGCAGUAAAUAUUUUACAUUCAAUAAAAUGAAAACACAACCUUGUGUUAUUUAUCACAGUCGUUUUAAUAUAUGAAGCCACGUUUAAUUUUUUAGCAACAUACACAAUACAUGUGCAUAAAUGAUUUGUUUUAAGGAUGCGAUAAGAAAAUGCAUUAAUGAAUUGCACUGUCAGUGAUAGAUAGUUAAUGCAUGAAGUGGUUAUCUGAAUGUAAGCAAACAGCUCUAUGAUUGUUUUACGCAUCAAAUAUUUACACAACGUUUGCACGUUUACACAGUGUCACUACUUGAUGUGCGUUUCUUCUGGGUUUCUUCCUUUCUUUCAUUCAUCUUUAUUUUGUCACAUUUUCAGCAUUUCUCAUUCAUGCAGUCGCAGCAUGCGAGUGGGGCAAAUAUGGGGAUAAUUGUGACAAACGCUGCUCCAAAAACUGCCAAGUUAACCUACAGAGGAACCUCACACACUGUAACAAGGAAACUGGAGAGUGCUCCGAUGGCUGCAUCACUGGGUGAUAUGCUGCUCAAUGUGACCAACACUGCGGCAAGAACUGUCUGGACAACGUCUGCAAUCAUGGGAAUGGACACUGCACAAGGGGAUGCAUUGGAAACCAAAUAGGGGAUUUCUACAUCAAGGUCAAAACAGAUGAAACAACAGGACAGUCAACGGCACACGUCGCAGUGAUCAUCACUAUCUCCCUUGUGGCAAUUAGAGUUAUCAUCGCCGUAACUGUCGUCAUAACACGUCGACGCCAGGGAGACAACAGAAGAAAGUCAACCCGGAGGCCAAAAGCUGGUACUGACCCUGAAAAUGCUGAAGGCGUGCCUUUACUGCCAAGAUAUAAUGUGCUUUCCCACAUCAAUAAUCAAAGGAAAGAUGCGUAUGCAGGUGUCAUGGAGAGAGGUAUGCUGGAGUGGGAGAUUCAGAAGACAGAAGAAUUAUUUGAAGAGACUGCUAUCUACCAUAAAGUCAAGGGACGUUUAGAGAACUUUAGACAUGUGACAAUAUCUGGUGCUUCAGGGGACGGAAAGACGUCAAUGGCGCUGAUUUUGGGGUCAGAAUACCAGAAGAAAGGGUAU